GACAGAGGGUGCAAACGUUGUUCGGAAUUACUGGGCGUAAAGCGCGUGUAGGCGGCCCUGUAAGUCGGGUGUGAAAUCCCUCGGCUCAACCGAGGAAGUGCACUCGAAACUGCAGGGCUUGAGUCCCGGAGAGGGUAGUGGAAUUCUCGGUGUAGAGGUGAAAUUCGUAGAUGUUCGCAAGAACACCAGUGGCGAAGGCGGCUCACUGGCCCGAUACUGACGCUGAGGCACGAAAGCGUGGGGAGCAAACAGG
RNAcentral lists this ribosomal RNA (253 nucleotides) under uncultured bacterium. Its description in RNAcentral is "partial 16S ribosomal RNA". It matches the Rfam family "Bacterial small subunit ribosomal RNA", at positions 524 to 776 of the family's 1533-position model. The record is from RNAcentral.